This 69-nucleotide transfer RNA is filed under the name Henricia pachyderma. Its description in RNAcentral is "tRNA-Trp". Lineage: Eukaryota; Metazoa; Echinodermata; Asteroidea; Spinulosida; Echinasteridae. The record is from RNAcentral.
AGGGGCUUAAGUUAAUAAAACUUAAAACCUUCAAAGUUUUGAAUAGGAAUGGAAGUUUCUUAGUCUCUG